Equus caballus (horse) is the source of this 1848-nucleotide long non-coding RNA. NCBI's taxonomy places the organism in Eukaryota, Metazoa, Chordata, Mammalia, Perissodactyla, Equidae. The record is from Ensembl.
UAUGCGCGGAGCAUGCGCCGUAUAUAUAUUUCAGAGAAGUAACCCCUGAGGUUUAAGCAGAAAGAUGGGCCACUACUGUCAAGCAGAUCUCUGACUGAGGCUGGAAACCUCAGGGGCUUUCUACCUCGUCCCCUUCUUCCCGCCAGAACCCGGUGCAGAGUGUGGAAGGAGCUGGGACAGCUGGCAGCCUAUUAAUACAGACCUUCUUGCCAGGCCCUUUCCUUCAAAGCAGGUCCACACAGACUACCCAGCAGCCCCCGCACCCCUGCUCCCAGCCCCUGCGAUCUCUGACUUCAGCCCCGUUCUCCUGAAAUCAGUGAUGGCUCAAGAAACCGCAGGAUCCUGGGCCCAGACCCCGGGUGAAGAUGCCCCAAUAUUUCUCAGUCCACAGACUUCUUGCCCCUCCAUCCCCAGCUGCCUUGCCAGGGGGGCCUGGUGAGAAAGUUGAGACCAUAUAUAGAGUUGUCUCUUACAAUGAACCGCCUUUAUUUUCUUGUGACAUACGCCAAGUGGGGUCUCCUCCCGAGUCACCCCUUUGAGUGCUCGGUUCUCGGCAUGCUCCUCCUGGGUGCCCUGCCUCCCAUCCCCUGCUGCGCCUUGAGGAAGCAUACGCCAAUUCAACUUAAGCAAAGCAUGACUAAGGACAUAAGCCCGAUGCUACACAAGCAAACAAUUUCUUUAUCCUAUAUUCAAGGGCCGGAUUUAAAUGCUUGGUGAGAUUACCCACUGUUUUGGAUUACCCACGGAGCUGGUCGUUCCCCCGGGUGGGGCCAGCUGAGAGCUGGGUGCGUUUGGGCGAAGGCUUCACCUCACGUGGAAGUUGAGAGUUGAAGUCAGGCGUUGGGUCCAGCAUCACAGUCUUUGCUCCUGCGGCUGUCCCUGGUGUGUCCCACCCUUCCCCCCGGGGAUGGUCGUCACAGCUCCCCAUCUCGAGGAAGGAAGCAACAACAGGCAGGAAGGGAUGUGCGGAUCCAAAACUUGCGCAUUUAGUGCACACGCCGGGACUUUCGAGUGUUUCCAAGUCGAGAUACCAAUUUUCCCUUUCGCUUCAGGAAAUGCCUCCACGGGCUCAACCUUCCCAGAAAGUUGGAGUUUUCAGCAGGCUAAAGAGAAAGAGACCCAGGAAAGGGGGGGAAGGUUGUCAGGAAGAGCUGGUCAAAUUUCAGAGUAAAUUUUUCAGGAGCCAAAAUUUAAAUAUGGACAUAAUAUAGGCCCUGUGUUUCCUGAAGCUUCUGUGGUGUUUGGCAAACUCUCUUUCUUUCCUCUUCCCUCUGUCCCGCUCAGCUGGGCUUCUGAGGACAGUGCAGAAGUAUCAUCAGGAGGUUGGUCUUUUGGAAGUAGCCCCAAGGGAGUAUGCCUGCAGGCUCCAUUGGCUUGGUGUGGAAUGGACUCCCAUGAAAGUUUUGUUGGCCUGAGCCCUCGGCCUGGGUGCUCAUGUGGCUACUCCAUUUGAGGAGGGCUUCAGGACUAGCUUGUCUUAUCUGCUCUUCCUGCUUCUCUCACUCCAUUGUUGUGAGGUCUUUGGCCAAUUUACUUCCCGUUGAUCAGCCAUAAAACAUCAGUGCCAACUCACAUUGAGACAGGGCAGUGCCCUCUGAAGGGCCUCAGGCUGGAGGUUCAGCGCUGCCCAAAGUAGUGGAGAGGAAAGGUGGAGGCUGACAUCCCCCAAAGGAAACUAUAGGACAGUGUGCAAAUUGCAUACGAGGGUGGCCCCGGGAGGUGGCAAGCAGGAGGUGCACGGUGCUUUGAAUUGUUUACCCAGGAAUGGGGAUGGUGAGCCCUGCUCCACCUCUGCUAUCCUGGGGCCCGUUGUCAUGACAGCCUCUCUGGGUGAUGGCUGCCUGGUCU